AUUNNNCGCUGGCGGCAUGCCUUACACAUGCAAGUCGAACGGUAACGCGGGGGCAACCCUGGCGACGAGUGGCGAACGGGUGAGUAGCGCAUCGGAACGUGCCCAGUAGUGGGGGAUAGCUCGGCGAAAGCCGGAUUAAUACCGCAUACGACCUACGGGUGAAAGCGGGGGACCGCAAGGCCUCGCGCUAUUGGAGCGGCCGAUGCCCGAUUAGCUAGUUGGUGAGGUAAAGGCUCACCAAGGCAACGAUCGGUAGCUGGUCUGAGAGGACGACCAGCCACACUGGGACUGAGACACGGCCCAGACUCCUACGGGAGGCAGCAGUGGGGAAUUUUGGACAAUGGGGGAAACCCUGAUCCAGCCAUGCNNNGUGCGGGAAGAAGGCCUUCGGGUUGUAAACCGCUUUUGGCAGGAACNAAACGGCGCGCGCUAAUACCGCGCGCUAAUGACGGUACCUGCAGAAUAAGCACCGGCUAACUACGUGCCAGCAGCCGCGGUAAUACGUAGGGUGCAAGCGUUAAUCNGAAUUACUGGGCGUAAAGCGUACGCAGGCGGCUGUGC
RNAcentral lists this ribosomal RNA (561 nucleotides) under uncultured bacterium. Its description in RNAcentral is "bacterial SSU rRNA". It matches the Rfam family "Bacterial small subunit ribosomal RNA", at positions 28 to 584 of the family's 1533-position model. The record is from RNAcentral.